UUUGCUUAGCUUGUAUCGUCCCAAAUCAAUCAACCAAUAUGACAAGAGAAGAAUCUCACAGCUUUGUGCUUCGUUUGUAUCAGUAUAAGCUCUACAGUACACACUUAAGUGUAUAAAUAAAGCUCAAAACCUGCACUAUCUCCCAAGAAAGCAAAACAAAUAAAAAUGGAAGUCCAAAUUAUUUCAAAAGAAAAUGUCAAACCAUCUUCUCCAACACCUCCACACCUAAAAAUCUUCAAACUUUCCCUUUUAGAUCAGUUCAUGCCAUCUCCAUAUGCUCCAAUUGUUCUCUUCUAUCCCAUGAUCAAGAACACAAACCAUCUUGAUGUCUCCAGCAAAUUAAAGCUGCUAAAAGAAUCUCUAUCACAGACCUUAACUUGCUUUUACCCUCUAGCUGGAAUUAUCAAAGAUGAUCUUUCAAUUGAGUGCAAUGACAAAGGGGCCAAUUUUGUGGAAGCUAGAGUUACUUGUCGCCUACAUGAGUUUCUUGCUCAACCUGACCUCAUGUUAAUAAAUAAAUUUCUUCCUUGUCAAUUCGUUGUCAAUAAAUCAACCGUAGGAGCUUUUGUGACAAAUAUUCAAGCAAACAUCUUCGAUUGCGAUGGUAUUGCCAUUGGUAUUUGCAUAUCUCACAAAAUCUUGGAUGGCGAUGCACUGAGUACAUUUCUCAAGGGGUGGACUUAUGCUUCCAGGGGAUGCAAUGAAGCAAUAUAUCCUAAAUUUGUUGCUAGUUUUCUUUUCCCUGCAAAUGACUUAUGGCUUAAAAACUCAUCAGCUGUGAUGUGGAGUUCCUUGUUGAGAAAGGGUAAUUGCAUAACCAGAAGAUUUGUUUUUGAUUCCUCAGCAAUAGAAAAGCUUAAGGCUCAGGCAAACAGUUCGGGUCUGCAAUGUCCAACUCGAGUUGAGACAGUCUCAGCUUUUCUUUGGAAGUCCAUUAUGUCUGCCUCUGCAAAAGUAAAUGGAUUUCAAAAGCCUUCUUUAUUAACACACAUAGUGAAUCUGCGUAGAAGAAUGGAACCAUCCUUGUCAGAGAAUUCCUUGGGAAAUUUCCUGUGGAUAGCAGCUGCACAGUACACAGACGAGGCCAAGCCGAAACUCAGUGAUUUGGUGAGUAAAGUGAAGGAAGCGAUAUCAAGAAUUGAUGAGGAGUUUGUUAAGAAAAUAAAAGGUGAGGAAGAGAAUUCUGUGCUGUCUGAGUCUCUAAAGGAAAUUGGUGAAAUGGACUCUUAUAAAAAUGGAAGAGACUGCUUUGGAUUUUCAAGCUGGUGCAAAUUUGGCUAUUAUGAUGCUGAUUUUGGGUGGGGAAAGCCUGUGUGGAUUAGCAGUAUGGGUUUGGAAGGUUCAGUAUUUAUGAAUCUGAUAAUUUUGGUUGAAACAAGAUUUGGUGAUGGUAUAGAAGCAUGGUUGACCCUAGAUGAACAAGAAAUGGCCAUUUUGGAAGGCAACCAAGACCUCCUCAAAUUGGCAUCCCUGAACCCAAGUCCUCUGGUUAUUGGACGACCACUGGGCACCUGUCCGCUACCCAUAUUUGAUUAUGGGGCCCAUCUACAUUCUGAUGAUGUUUAUUUUACUCACCGUCCGAUCCAACGGCAUCAGAUAAAAUUAAAAAAACAAUAAUGUGAACGUCGCCGUUGAACUUGCAGAAUUUGACAAGCUGACAAAGGCACCUUCUUUCUCUCUCGCUGAUCGUCACCAUAGGAAUUGGGAACAAAAAAAAAAAAAAAAAAAAGUCUCGCGUUGAAUCGCAGCGCUGGUCGUUGUUGCCUUUGCCUGAAAAAUGAAAAUUGAAAUGAAAUGA
Molecule: non-coding RNA, 1798 nt
Organism: Jatropha curcas
Lineage: Eukaryota; Viridiplantae; Streptophyta; Magnoliopsida; Malpighiales; Euphorbiaceae
Source: RefSeq, a predicted model, not a curated record